GAUGGGGAGCGAAAUUUAGUAGCGAAGUAGCUGAUUUCACACUGUCAAGAAAAGUCUCUAUCGAGGUUAAAGGUACCCGUACCGCAAACCGACACAGGUGGGUGAGGAGAGUAUCCUAAGGCCAGCGAGAGAACUGUUGUUAAGGAACUCGGCAAAAUGACCUCGUAACUUAGGGAUAAGGGGUGCCACCAUCAGGUGGCCGCAGAGAAUAGGCCCAAGCGACUGUUUACCAAAAACAUAGGUUUCUGCUAAGUCGAAAGACGAUGUAUAGGAGCUGACGCCUGCCCGGUGCUGGAAGGUUAAGGGGAUCUGUUAGAGCAAUCGAAGCAGGGAACUUAAGCCCCAGUAAACGGCGGCCGUAACUAUAACGGUCCUAAGGUAGCGAAAUUCCUUGUCGGGUAAGUUCCGACCCGAACGAAAGGCGUAACGAUUUGGGCACUGUCUCAACAACAGACUCG
RNAcentral lists this ribosomal RNA (458 nucleotides) under Clostridioides difficile. RNAcentral describes it as "bacterial LSU rRNA". It matches the Rfam family "Bacterial large subunit ribosomal RNA", at positions 1565 to 2035 of the family's 2925-position model. Lineage: Bacteria; Bacillati; Bacillota; Clostridia; Peptostreptococcales; Peptostreptococcaceae. The record is from RNAcentral.